RNAcentral lists this transfer RNA (73 nucleotides) under Gemmata sp. SH-PL17. It matches the Rfam family "tRNA". From Rfam's summary of the family: Transfer RNA (tRNA) molecules are approximately 80 nucleotides in length. Their secondary structure includes four short double-helical elements and three loops (D, anti-codon, and T loops). The record is from Rfam by way of RNAcentral. Lineage: Bacteria; Pseudomonadati; Planctomycetota; Planctomycetia; Gemmatales; Gemmataceae.
ACAUACGUAGCUCAAUUAGAAGAGCACUCGCUUUCGGAGCGGGAAGUUGCCGGUGCGAAUCCGGUCGUAACUU